Long non-coding RNA from Sinocyclocheilus rhinocerous, 459 nucleotides. RefSeq lists it as uncharacterized. The transcript is spliced from 3 exons. Lineage: Eukaryota; Metazoa; Chordata; Actinopteri; Cypriniformes; Cyprinidae. The record is from RefSeq and is a predicted model, not a curated record.
GUCAGGAGAGACCUAACUUCCUGUCCAUCUCGUUUAGACGUGGUGUCUCCCAGCUGCAGCCCCACGGCCGUCGCCUGGCACCCUCAUCAGAGCAGCACCAUCGCAUACGGUGAUGAACUGGGUCGAGUGACUCUGAGGGAUCUGCAGACGUCGGACGGUGUACGGACGAUAAAUGCUCACAGCCGCCGCGUCUCCAGACUGACGUUCUCCUCCGACAGUUCACCCCUGCUGGCCUCUAUCAGUGACGACUGCUCCGUUGCCGUGGUUACUGAAGAGCUCAGGGAAAUGUGAGUAUUGACACAUGCCUCUCUCCUCAUUGGCUGUCCUGCACCAGCCAAUCAGAACACAGGAAAUCCCCCCCCCCGAAGUACAUGGAACUGACAAUCAUUGGAAACCGUUUUUGUGUCUUAAAUAUUUUAACACGUAUAUCUAAUUUAAUUACAAACAAUUCAAUAAUAA